This 402-nucleotide ribosomal RNA is filed under the name Bacteroidota bacterium. RNAcentral describes it as "Bacteroidetes bacterium partial 16S ribosomal RNA". It matches the Rfam family "Bacterial small subunit ribosomal RNA", at positions 355 to 776 of the family's 1533-position model. Lineage: Bacteria; Pseudomonadati; Bacteroidota. The record is from RNAcentral.
UGGGGAAUUUUGCACAAUGGGGGAAACCCUGAUGCAGCGACGCCGCGUGAUUUAGAAGGCCUUCGGGUUGUAAAAAUCUUUUCUAUGGGAAGAAAAUGACAGUACCAUAGGAAUAAGGACCGGCUAAUUACGUGCCAGCAGCCGCGGUAAUACGUAAGGUCCGAGCGUUGUCCGGAAUCAUUGGGCGUAAAGGGUACGUAGGCGGGUAAGCAAGUUAGAAGUGAAAUCCUGUAGCUCAACUACAGUAAGCUUUUAAAACUGCUCAUCUUGAGAUAUGGAAGGGAAAGUGGAAUUCCUAGUGUAGCGGUGAAAUGCGCAGAUAUUAGGAGGAAUACCGGUGGCGAAGGCGACUUUCUGGUCUGUAACUGACGCUGAGGCUCGAAAGCGUGGGUAGCAAACAGG